RNAcentral lists this ribosomal RNA (446 nucleotides) under uncultured bacterium. Its description in RNAcentral is "partial 16S ribosomal RNA". It matches the Rfam family "Bacterial small subunit ribosomal RNA", at positions 338 to 795 of the family's 1533-position model. The record is from RNAcentral.
CCUACGGGUGGCAGCAGUCGAGAAUCAUUCACAAUGGGGGAAACCCUGAUGGUGCGACGCCGCGUGGGGGAAUGAAGGUCUUCGGAUUGUAAACCCCUGUCAUGUGGGAGCAAAUUAAAAAGAUAGUACCCCAAGAGGAAGAGACGGCUAACUCUGUGCCAGCAGCCGCGGUAAUACAGAGGUCUCAAGCGUUGUUCGGAAUCACUGGGCGUAAAGCGUGCGUAGGAUGUUUCGUAAGUCGUGUGUGAAAGGCGCGGGCUCAACCCGCGGACGGCACAUGAUACUGCGAGACUAGAGUAAUGGAGGGGGAACCGGAAUGCUCGGUGUAGCAGUGAAAUGCGUAGAUAUCGAGAGGAACACUCGUGGCGAAGGCGGGUUCCUGGACAUUAACUGACGCUGAGGCACGAAGGCCAGGGGAGCGAAAGGGAUUAGAUACCCGAGUAGUC